UACGUAGGGUGCAAGCGUUGUCCGGAAUUAUUGGGCGUAAAGAGCUCGUAGGCGGUUUGUCGCGUCUGCUGUGAAAACCCGAGGCUCAACCCGGGAACUGCGUCCGAUACUGGCAGGCUUGAAUCCGGGAGAGGGAUGCGGAAUUCCAGGUGUAGCGGUGAAAUGCGUAGAUAUCAGGAGGAACACCGGUGGCGAAGGCGGGUCACUGGGCCGCAACUGACGCUGAGGAGCGAAAGCAUGGGAGCGAACAGG
Molecule: ribosomal RNA, 252 nt
Filed under: uncultured bacterium
Lineage: Bacteria
Description: partial 16S ribosomal RNA
Rfam family: Bacterial small subunit ribosomal RNA
Source: RNAcentral